UUAAAGCCUGUGAACGGGACGAGUAGCCCGGCACUUCUGUUACAGAGAGCCCGGGGAAGCUGGAAACGGGUACAGGGGUCCGCGGUGAAAAUCACCCGGGAGGUUCCGGCUGAACGGCGGUUAACCGCCUAUUAAGCCCGGACGGCCAGCCACCGUUACCGGCAAAAUGAGGGGACAGGUAGAAAGGCCUUUUUACCUGUCUAGAAGGGUGGUACCGCGGGAAUAUCCCGUCCCUUUG
RNAcentral lists this non-coding RNA (238 nucleotides) under Desulfofundulus australicus. Its description in RNAcentral is "Desulfotomaculum australicum T-box sequence". It matches the Rfam family "T-box leader". Rfam says of the family: Uncharged tRNA acts as the effector for transcription antitermination of genes in the T-box leader family. The record is from RNAcentral. Lineage: Bacteria; Bacillati; Bacillota; Clostridia; Eubacteriales; Peptococcaceae.